Long non-coding RNA from Zeugodacus cucurbitae (melon fly), 4425 nucleotides. RefSeq lists it as uncharacterized. The transcript has 2 exons. NCBI's taxonomy places the organism in Eukaryota, Metazoa, Arthropoda, Insecta, Diptera, Tephritidae. The record is from RefSeq and is a predicted model, not a curated record.
AUUUUGUUGGAAUAAUAUAACAAAAUAAUUAAAAUUAAUAAAACACUAAAAAAUUCAAGCAACUUUAGUAUUCGGUUUUUUUUGAUAAAUUAAUAGAAAAGCGUUUUAAAAACCAACAUUUUUUCAGUUUUAAAAUGUAAUUGUCGCCUAUUUAUACCAUUCGUCUUGGAGCCGUGUGUUUAAUGCGAUGAGAGAUGAAACCGGGUUUUGACGCAACGCCUGUCCAAUUCACUCCAUAAUUUUUUGGUUGGAUUUAUGUCAGGAUAUUGAGUCGGAGUUUCUAUAACUUUGGAACAAUUUUCAAGCAACCAAGACCUUAAGGAUAUAGGUUUUAUAUUUUGGGUCAUUAUCCUGAUAUAAGUUAAAUGUGUCCUAAAUACCAAUUUUGAUGGCGGAUUCUUCCAAACUAUCUCUCAAAAUUUGCAGAAAAGUGUGCUGGUUCAUAUAAGUUAAAUGUGUCCUAAAUACCAAUUUUGAUGGCGGAUUCUUCCAAACUAUCUCUCAAAAUUUGCAGAAAAGUGUGCUGGUUCAUAAUCCCAUCAAUGAAAUCGAAAAUUUCCGACACUUUUGGAUGACACACUAUAAGAUAUCCACCUCCGUAUUUCACCGUCGGUAGUAAGUUUCAGUUUUAAAGCACUGUGUUGUGUUUACGCCACACUAUUGUCCUUCAUAGUAUAUGUUUACUACUCUUUGGCAUUCAAAUUUUUUUUUUUCAUUAUUGAUUUUAACCAUUUAAUCGGCACUUAAAGUGCUUGAAAUAAAAAACCGAAUAUUAAAGUUACUCACGUAUAUCGACUUUAUUAACUUAAAGGGUAAACGAGAAUUAUAUUUGGUCACAUUUGAAAAAGCACAAUUUAUAUAAAACUAGCUAUUAGUAUUAAACAAAGAAUGAAAUAAAACACUCAUUUCACACAAUUAAUACAUAAAUAUAGUGAAGAUUUGGUACACCGACUGCUGUGACAUAUAAUGAUAUUAUAUAUAUAACAUUUCCAAAUCAAAAACUAUUUUAAUAAGACCCAAUGUUGACUACAAACCAUUCUCGAAUCCACCUGAAGGCAAAAAAUUUAAUUCAUACACACGUACUGCAGAAUAUUACAUAUAAAGAUACGAAUCAUAAAAAUAUGUACAAAUUAUUACUUGCAAUAAGAAAAUAGUUCCACUAAAUAUAAUUUUGUUUCGUAAUUCUUUUCUGCAACUACAGUAGUUUUCCGAAAUAACGAAGACAUUAAUUGUCAGGCCUGUUCGCUAUAUCGUAUUUUUCGUUAAUUCGAAUACUCACUUAGAGGUAUUUUUAUCAAUAAAAAUGAGUUAUAUAUCCGUAAAUUGCAGUUUAAUAAAUUGUUUUAUUAAUUAUUUGUUAAAAAAUGAAAAAAAAACAUAACAAAACAAUUCAAAUCCAGUAAAUUCUUCCAAAAUGGAUCAAUUCUGACACUCAUACUUCUAUUUGGUGCUGAUCAAUAAUUUUAAGCUUUUUUAUAAAAUUCAACAUUUUUUCAAUUUGCACAUUUUUUUUAAUUUUUUCCAGUUUUAUUUUUAAUUCUGGUUCGAUGUUAUUUGAUUUUUUCCUCUUUCUUCAUAUGUCUUCUUCAUGUUGUUCGUUAAAAUGAGUACUUACAAAUUCUUGAUGUUCGUUAUUUACGGUACUCAAUGUAGCAAAUUUGCUUGUUCGUUAUAAGCGGUUUUCGUUAAAACGAAUAUUCGUUAUUUCGGAAAACUACUGUACUUUGUAUUUGCUGGAAAAUUUUGAAAAUUUUUUGCGAUUCAGUUGUGCAAUGGUUGCUUUUUCUAAUCACUUAUGGGUCAAAAACCCAUAUCUCAGGAACUACUCGACCGAUUUCAAUGAAACUUGGUUUGUAAUAGUUUCCUUACAUCCCAAUGAUAUGUUGUGAAAAUAGGCCAAAUCGCUUCACAACCACGCCUACUUCCUAUAUACCAGAACUUUGAAGACAAUCUGAAUCGUUUACUUUACAAUAUAUAAAGUAAAUACUAGUGAAGAUAUCGGUGCAGAACUUUGCACAAAUACUAUGCUAAUAGUGUGGCAGCCCCAUUCUAAAAAUCGCCGAUAUCGGACCAUAGGUUUUUAAGGCCCCAUAUAUCGAACACGAGGACCUCGGUGCUUCUAUCCUAAUAUUAUGGUUUCCAACUUUCAAUGGACAUUAUACAAUAUAUAUGACGAAUAUGUGGGUCAAAUUGUGUAUUAUAUAAUAUAAAUAAAGUUAAAUAUAUAAAUUGCGAGAGUAUAAAAUGUUCGGUUACACCCGAACCUAUGGUGCCAAGAAAUAAGUGUACCAAGUUUCAUCAACAUAUCUUAAUUUUUACUCAAGUUACAGCUUGCACAGACGGACGGACGGACGGACGGACAGACAGACAUUCGGAUUUGAACUCCACUCUUCACCCUGAUCACUCUAUAAUACUCUCUUUAGCAACAUUUGUUGCGAGAGUAUAAAAAAAUUGUAUGCGAAGUUAAUAAAUAAAAUUGUAAAAAUCUAUAUCUUACAGCUUUUUGAAAAAUUUCGAGUUUAAUUGAAAAUUCUAUAACUCGAAGUUUUUUUUGUGGAUUAUGGUGAUUCGAGUUAGAGAAGUUCCACUGUAAUCUGUGAUAUCCUGCUCUUGGUCUUGGUUUCAUUGUGCUCUUUGAAGAUAUAAUCACUCUAAUCACAGACCAUUUCUUCAGCUCUUUUCGAUGGGGAUUUCCUUUAAUAUGUCAUAAUAGAGCUCUUUCAAUCAAUUGUGACCAGUUAACCAGUUUUCCCCAAACUAUAAGCCAUAAAUGAAAUUGUUAAAAAAAAUACGAUGGUCGUGAGCACCUCGCUAUAAUUUUGUUGUGAUAAAUCUGGGAAAAAUGCUAAAUGACUAAAACAAAAACUUUCAAUUUACAAUAUAUUCACUGAGUGGUAAUUGUGUAAAUUUAUUUUGUAAGCAUUCCAUCAACAAUUUUUUUAAACAAGAGUAAAAGUUUUAAACUUUAUGAUUUUUCGGCACCCCAAUUAUAUUCGGUAUUGUUACAUACAUGCAUAAUUUAAUGUUCAAAUAAAAAAAGAAGGAAGGGUUAAGUACGGGUGUAACCAAGAAAUUUAUACCCUUGAAAUUUUUUUUAUAGAAUUUUUUUAAGACACAAUUUGUCCUUUAUAUUAAAUUCGACAUAAAGUCCUCUAGAAUAACGAAAAUAAUUAUAACAAGUAAGGAAAGGUUAAGUUCGAGUGCAACCGAACAUUUUAUAUUCUCGCAAUUUAUUGCUAUAUUUUUAUUAAGAUAACACACAAAUUUACUCAUAGAUUCGGCAUUUCACUCAUUUUCACCACCAAAGUACACUAUAUUCAAGAUUAUACGCUCACUUAAUUUUGCUAAGGUAUCUCAUAUAUAUAUGAUAUUAUAUUAUAUAUUGAAUUUCAUUCGAAUCGGUCGGGUAGUUCCUGAGAUAUGGUUUUUGACCCAUAAGUGGGCGAUGCCACGCACAUUUUCCAUUUUGCAAAUAAAUCUGAGUGCAGCUUCCUUCUGCAAUUUCUUCUGUAAAAUUUAGUGUUUCCGACGUUUUUCGUUAGUGAGAUAACCCACUUUUAGUAAUUUUCAACCUAACCUUUGUAUGGGAGGUAGGGGCGGUUAUUAUCCGAUUUCAACUAUUUUCACGCGGGGGCCACGCGGGGGACGGGGCCACGCCCACUUCCCCCAAAAAAAAAAUUACAUCCAAACAUGCCCCUUCCUAGUGCAAUCCUUUGUUCCAAAUUUUACUUUUAUAGCUUUAUUUAUGGCUUAGUUAUGACACUAUAUGUGUUUUCGGUUUUCGCCAUUUUGUCGACGUGGCAGUGGUCCGGUUUUGCCCAUUUUCGAAAGAAACCCUCUCACGGCCCAAGGGACAUGUGUUCCAAGUUUCAUUAAGACAUCUCAAUUUUUACUCAAGUUAUCCGUUGCACGGACGUACGUACAGACAGACAUUCGGAUUUUGACUCGUCUCCUCACCCUGAUCAUUUUGAUAUAUAUAAAACUCUAUAUCUAACUCGUUUAGUUUUAUGCCUUACAAACAAUCGUUAUGUUAACAAAACUAUAAUACUCUCUUAACAACUUUUGUUGCGAGAGUAUAAAAAGUAUAUGAGAAUGCGGACUGGGUCAUUUCUGAACCGAUUUCACUAAUUUUUGCCAACAAUCUAUAAUAUAUCCAAUAUUCACUUAAUAUUGCUAAGAUAAAAACACCUUCGAGUUAGAGGGACUUCCGAGAUACGGAAGGUAAUUUGAUGAAAUUUGACUUCUAUUGGCAAAUCAAGAGUUCGAGUCAUGGAGAACUUCAUGGUUUAGAAGUUCGAGUUAUGGAAGUUCAACUGUACAUUAUUAAAAGAAAAAUAUCCCCUAAUUUCAAAUUGAAAUUAUUUUGUAAAAGCAUACAUUUUAAGAAUAUUUUUACAUAUAUAUAAAAAUACCAUUCAUUUUACU